CACAUCGUCAUCGCACACGCCAAACAGAUGAGCCCCACAACCCCGACACGCGAUCAUCGGGACAAGCCAAACCUGAGCGCCGCUGCCUGCUCUUCCUGCUCCGUCAUCCUCGCCGUGCGUGCCCGUGCGGCCUUGGCUCAGCCACGUCGUCUUCCUCGCCAUGGACACCCUGACGUCGUCCUCGCCCUAAGCGCCCGCGCUGUCGUUCUCGCCUAUGGGAGUUUUGCCAUCAGGUGGUGGUUGAGAAAAACUCAUGCGUGAGAGGAUCCAUAAUAAUCUUGAAGGUUCUGAUAUCUUUGGUUCUACAUCGAUAAAGUGUGUGUUUUUUUCUUUA
Long non-coding RNA from Sorghum bicolor (sorghum), 334 nucleotides. RefSeq lists it as uncharacterized. Lineage: Eukaryota; Viridiplantae; Streptophyta; Magnoliopsida; Poales; Poaceae. The transcript has 2 exons. The record is from RefSeq and is a predicted model, not a curated record.